RNAcentral lists this ribosomal RNA (324 nucleotides) under uncultured eukaryote. RNAcentral's name for it is "partial 18S ribosomal RNA". It matches the Rfam family "Eukaryotic small subunit ribosomal RNA", at positions 1470 to 1796 of the family's 1831-position model. The record is from RNAcentral.
CCCUUAGAUGUCCUGGGCUGCACGCGCGCUACACUGAUGUGUCCAGUAAGCACCUAACCUCUUCCGAAAGGAACGGGUAACCUUUGCAAAGCACAUCGUGAUGGGGAUAGAUUAUUGCAAUUAUUAGUCUUGAAUGAGGAAUUCCUAGUAAGCACAAGUCAUCAGCUUGUGUUGAUUACGUCCCUGCCCUUUGUACACACCGCCCGUCGCUCCUACCGAUUGAAUGUUCCGGUGAGCUCUUCGGACUGCGCGGUCUGCAGUUUCUGCGUUCCGUGCGGAAAGUUGCGCAAACCUUAACAUUUAGAGGAAGGAGAAGUCGUAACA